Molecule: ribosomal RNA, 117 nt
Filed under: Actinomadura sp. ATCC 39365
Lineage: Bacteria; Bacillati; Actinomycetota; Actinomycetes; Streptosporangiales; Thermomonosporaceae
Also listed under: 4 other names
Source: RNAcentral
UACGGCGGUUAUGGCGAGAAGGAAACACCCGGUUACAUUCCGAACCCGGAAGUUAAGCUUCUCUGCGCCGAUGGUACUGCACUCGGGAGGGUGUGGGAGAGUAGGUCACCGCCGGAC